GUGCCAGCAGCGGCGGUAAUACGGAGGAUGCGAGCGUUAUCCGGAUUUAUUGGGUUUAAAGGGUGCGUAGGCGGCGAUUUAAGUCAGCGGUAAAAUUUCUGGGCUCAACCCAGUCUGGCCGUUGAAACUGGAUUGCUUGAGUACGGAUGAAGUAGGCGGAAUUUGUAGUGUAGCGGUGAAAUGCAUAGAUAUUACAAGGAACUCCAAUUGCGCAGGCAGCUUACUAAACCGUCACUGACGCUGGUGCACGAAAGUGUGGGUAUCAAACAGGAUUAGAUACCCUGGUAGUCCAACACAGUAACGAUGAUUACUCGCUGUUUGCGAUAUACAGU
Molecule: ribosomal RNA, 332 nt
Filed under: uncultured Dysgonomonas sp.
Lineage: Bacteria; Pseudomonadati; Bacteroidota; Bacteroidia; Bacteroidales; Dysgonomonadaceae
Description: bacterial SSU rRNA
Rfam family: Bacterial small subunit ribosomal RNA
Source: RNAcentral